RNAcentral lists this ribosomal RNA (274 nucleotides) under Proteus mirabilis. RNAcentral describes it as "partial 23S ribosomal RNA". It matches the Rfam family "Bacterial large subunit ribosomal RNA", at positions 1449 to 1725 of the family's 2925-position model. The record is from RNAcentral. Lineage: Bacteria; Pseudomonadati; Pseudomonadota; Gammaproteobacteria; Enterobacterales; Morganellaceae.
GGUAACUGCGAUGGGGGAACGGAGAAGGCUAGGUUGUCCGGGCGACGGUCGUCCCGGUUCAAGCAGGUAGGCAGAGUGAUUAGGCAAAUCCGGUCACUUAAUGCUGAGAUGUGAUGACGAACCACCAAGGUGGUGAAGCAAUUGAUGCCCCGCUUCCAGGAAAAGCCUCUAAGCUUCAGGUUACCAACAAUCGUACCCCAAACCGACACAGGUGGUCAGGUAGAGAAUACUCAGGCGCUUGAGAGAACUCGGGUGAAGGAACUAGGCAAAAUGG